This 424-nucleotide ribosomal RNA is filed under the name uncultured prokaryote. RNAcentral's name for it is "bacterial SSU rRNA". It matches the Rfam family "Bacterial small subunit ribosomal RNA", at positions 355 to 796 of the family's 1533-position model. The record is from RNAcentral.
UGGGGAAUAUUGGACAAUGGGGGCAACCCUGAUCCAGCCAUGCCGCGUGCGUGAAGAAGGCCUUAGGGUUGUAAAGCGCUUUCAGCGGGGACGAUGAUGACGGUACCCGCAGAAGAAGCCCCGGCUAACUCCGUGCCAGCAGCCGCGGUAAUACGGAGGGGGCUAGCGUUGUUCGGAAUUACUGGGCGUAAGGUGCGCGUAGGCGGAUUGAUCAGUCAGGGGUGAAAUCCCGGGGCUCAACCCCGGAACUGCCUUUGAUACUGUCAAUCUAGAGUUCGAGAGAGGUGAGUGGAAUUCCGAGUGUAGAGGUGAAAUUCGUAGAUAUUCGGAGGAACACCAGUGGCGAAGGCGGCUCACUGGCUCGAUACUGACGCUGAGGUGCGAAAGUGUGGGGAGCAAACAGGAUUAGAUACCCGUGUAGUCC